Molecule: ribosomal RNA, 117 nt
Filed under: Lepisosteus oculatus (spotted gar)
Lineage: Eukaryota; Metazoa; Chordata; Actinopteri; Semionotiformes; Lepisosteidae
Source: RNAcentral
GCCAGCAGCCAUAUCACCCUGCAGCUCUCAACAGGCCACCCACUGAAGCUCAGCAGGGCUGAGCCUCGUCAGUACCUGGAUGUGAGACCUCCUGGGAAGCUAUGGUUGCUGCUGAAA